AAUCAACGCUGGCGGCGUGCCUCAGACAUGCAAGUCGAACGAUUAAAGCUCUCUUCGGAGAGUGUAUAGAGUGGCGCACGGGUGAGUAACACGUAAGUAAUCUACCUUUGAGUGGGAUAACGUCCGGAACGGACGCUAAUACCGCAUAAUGCAGCGGCAUCGCAAGAUGACAGUUAGUUAAAGUAUUUAUCGCUUGAAGAGGAGCUUGCGGCA
Molecule: ribosomal RNA, 213 nt
Filed under: uncultured bacterium
Lineage: Bacteria
Description: partial 16S ribosomal RNA
Rfam family: Bacterial small subunit ribosomal RNA
Source: RNAcentral